CGCUGGCGGCAUGCCUAACACAUGCAAGUCGAACGGGGGUAGCAAUACCCUAGUGGCGAACGGGUGAGUAACACAUAAGCAAUCUGCCCUUCACAGGGGGAUAACAGCGGGAAACUGCUGCUAAUACCGCAUAAGACCACGGUACCGCAUGGUACAGGGGUAAAAACGAAUCAGUGGUGAAGGAUGAGCUUAUGUCCCAUUAGCUAGUUGGUGGGAUAACAGCCCACCAAGGCGACGAUGGGUAGCCGACCUGAGAGGGUGAUCGGCCACACUGGAACUGAGACACGGUCCAGACUCCUACGGGAGGCAGCAGUGGGGAAUAUUGGGCAAUGGAGGAAAAACCUCUUACCCAGCAAUGCCGCGUGAGUGAAGAAGGUCUUCGGAUUGUAAAGCUCUUUGAUUGGGGACGAAGAAAGUGACGGUACCCAAAGAACAAGCCCCGGCUAACUACGUGCCAGCCGCAGC
This 465-nucleotide ribosomal RNA is filed under the name uncultured bacterium. RNAcentral describes it as "bacterial SSU rRNA". It matches the Rfam family "Bacterial small subunit ribosomal RNA", at positions 34 to 518 of the family's 1533-position model. The record is from RNAcentral.